AGAACGAACGCUGGCGGCAGGCUUAGCACAUGCAAGUCGAGCGAUCGCAGCAAUGCGGGAGCGGCAGACGGGGUGAGUAACGCGUGGGAACGUACCCUCCGGUUCGGAAUAACUGAGGGAAACCUUAGCUAAUACCGGCAUAAUACCUACGGGUCAAAGGAGCAAUUCGCUUCAGGAGGGGGUCGCGGCCGAUUAGCUAGUUGGCGGGGUAAUGGCCCACCAAGGCAAUGAUCGGUAU
RNAcentral lists this ribosomal RNA (238 nucleotides) under uncultured bacterium. Its description in RNAcentral is "partial small subunit ribosomal RNA". It matches the Rfam family "Bacterial small subunit ribosomal RNA", at positions 26 to 286 of the family's 1533-position model. The record is from RNAcentral.